This is a non-coding RNA of Acanthosepion pharaonis, 93 nucleotides long. NCBI's taxonomy places the organism in Eukaryota, Metazoa, Mollusca, Cephalopoda, Sepiida, Sepiidae. The record is from the annotation of a GenBank genome assembly.
UUAUGGCCAUAUCAUGUUGAAACACCGGUUCCCAUACGAUCACUGAAGUUAAGCAACAUCAAGCCUGGUCAGUACCUAGAUGGGUGGGUGACU